RNAcentral lists this ribosomal RNA (544 nucleotides) under Dujonia zeylanoides. RNAcentral's name for it is "LSU rRNA". It matches the Rfam family "Eukaryotic large subunit ribosomal RNA", at positions 62 to 611 of the family's 3401-position model. The record is from RNAcentral. Lineage: Eukaryota; Fungi; Ascomycota; Pichiomycetes; Serinales; Debaryomycetaceae.
AAACCAACAGGGAUUGCCUCAGUAACGGCGAGUGAAGCGGCAAAAGCUCAAAUUUGAAAUCUAGCACUUUCAGUGUUCGAGUUGUAAUUUGAAGAAGGUAACUUUGGUUUUGGCUCUUGUCUAUGUUCCUUGGAACAGGACGUCACAGAGGGUGAGAAUCCCGUGCGAUGAGAUGCCCAAUUCCAUGUAAAGUGCUUUCGAAGAGUCGAGUUGUUUGGGAAUGCAGCUCUAAGUGGGUGGUAAAUUCCAUCUAAAGCUAAAUAUUGGCGAGAGACCGAUAGCGAACAAGUACAGUGAUGGAAAGAUGAAAAGAACUUUGAAAAGAGAGUGAAAAAGUACGUGAAAUUGUUGAAAGGGAAGGGCUUGAGAUCAGACUUGGUAUUUUGCGUUCCCUUCCUUUUUGGUUGGGUUCCUCGCAGUUUACUGGGCCAGCAUCGGUUUGGAUGGUAGGAUAAUGACAUUGGAAUGUAGCUUUACUUCGGUGAAGUGUUAUAGACUUUGUUGAUACUGCCUAUCUAGACCGAGGACUGCGUCUUGACUAGGA